GGGACGCCAUCCUCACCACCCUCCGGCAGGUGUAUCCGAACGAGCCGACCACGGCUUAUUCGGACGACGCGCUCCUCGGACCCUCCUUCUUCCGCGUCGGCCGGUGGCAAUACAACAUCCAUGGCGGACACCACGUCCAGCGUUUCGACCUGGAUGCUGUCAUUGACAUGCCGGCCGCACGUGUGGAGAAGGUCGUGUUCCGCGUUAAGUCAAACUGGGGCGCGGCGCAUACAUGUCUCUAUCGUGUGAGACUGCAUGGACACCUAUAGGCAUACUUCCGCCGGAAGCUAUGGGUCUUGGUGGAAAUGGUGUUUUCUUUCUCCCCUAACUGGUCAGCUGGAUGGAAUGUACGGUGGUUAACAUGGUGGGUGUGGUUUUUACUGAGAGCGGGCUAAAGGGGGUUUUGUGAGUGUUCCUGGGGUUGUAUUACAUGCGUUGUUUGUGGGUAUUACAUGUGUCUUAUACAGAUAUAUAGAAGGCCUCUUGGUGUUGAGUAGGUUGGGUGUUUGGGAUUUGGUGUUCUGGGUUCUUGAUGUCGCUUUUCGUCUGGGUGGUGGAUUUGGAGGGUUUUUUCGAGUCUGGAGUUUUGGGCUAGAUAUUCAACAAGGCAGGUGUCUGUGGGCGGUUUCUGGGUAAUGUACUGGACUUGGUCUUUGUUGCUGGCGGUGCAGGAUGUCUUUUUAUUUUUUUAUUUUUUUAUUUUUUUCUAAAAAAAUCUCCCCCUGUUUUCUAUUUUUUCUUUCUUCCGAAGUUUUCUUUUCUGCCAUCUUGUGUUUGUUUUCUGCUCCCUCUCUCUACAGUUAUGUGUGAGCGCUUUUUCUGUAUUAUUCCCACAUAUUCUCCUUCGUUUUGAUUUUUGAUAUUUUUUGAUCUCUAUCUUCCAGCUUGUGUGUCCUGUCUGUAUCCUGCAUAUAAAGCUGAGUGUUUUUUUCUCUUAUAGUUUAUUCUAUUUUAUUUGUAUUCUUCUGUUUGUUUACCUUUUACCGUUUUCUUCCUCUCAAGUGGCAAAUGUAUUUAUCAAUUUCCCGUGCAUCUACCUAGCACAGAUUGCAUGACGUUUAUUAAUAGUGAGAUUCAACUCGGCUCGCAAGAGUGAACAGCAUAUUCCAGUUUCAAACGUAGCAAUUGUGACCAUCCUGAGGUCAUUCUGGCGGAUUAAACGCACCAACGCGCCCCACGUAACCUCUCUCGUGGGCCUAUAGUUAGAGGAAAAUGGAUGAUGACCAGACUAGAUUACCCAAACGCCAAUCAAUACCUGGUGCGUUCGCAUAUGCAUUCUGCAACCCAAUGCCAAUGAAUCCCAGGUCCAAACAAAGACUCUUUUAACGAACGCUGAGGACGCAAAAUUAAAGGAUUAAAUGAAUAAGCGAGGAAGUCGAAAAAUAAAUUUAAAAAAAAAAAAAAAAACUCUUUACGUCUCUAUAUGUGCGUCUUUACCAAUCUCUCUUACCAUUCCAAUUCAGUGGGUUUAUUUGUGUGUGUGGGGUGGAGAGGGAAUAGUUAUGGAUAAAGCUUUCCCAAAUCCAGAUCCUCUACACUUCAAAUUUCAAUAUUGGAAAAGACAUCAGAAGCCCC
Molecule: small RNA, 1575 nt
Filed under: Histoplasma capsulatum var. duboisii H88
Lineage: Eukaryota; Fungi; Ascomycota; Eurotiomycetes; Onygenales; Ajellomycetaceae
Description: Histoplasma capsulatum H88 hypothetical RNA
Source: RNAcentral